GGCCUUUGGGUUGUAAACCUCUUUUCUCAGGGAAGAAGAUCUGACGGUACCUGAGGGAUAAGCAUCGGCUAACUCCGUGCCAGCAGCCGCGGUAAUACGGAGGAUGCAAGCGUUAUCCGGAAUUAUUGGGCGUAAAGCGUCCGCAGGUGGUCUUUCAAGUCUGCUGUCAAAGACCAGAGCUUAACUCUGGGCAGGCGGUGGAAACUGAGAGACUAGAGUUCGGUAGGGGUAGCGGGAAUUCCCAGUGUAGCGGUGAAAUGCGUAGAUAUUGGGAAGAACAUCGGUGGCGAAGGCGUGCUACUGGACCGAAACUGAC
RNAcentral lists this ribosomal RNA (316 nucleotides) under uncultured cyanobacterium. RNAcentral's name for it is "bacterial SSU rRNA". It matches the Rfam family "Bacterial small subunit ribosomal RNA", at positions 413 to 744 of the family's 1533-position model. Lineage: Bacteria; Bacillati; Cyanobacteriota. The record is from RNAcentral.